This 423-nucleotide ribosomal RNA is filed under the name uncultured fungus. RNAcentral's name for it is "bacterial SSU rRNA". It matches the Rfam family "Eukaryotic small subunit ribosomal RNA", at positions 556 to 992 of the family's 1831-position model. The record is from RNAcentral. Lineage: Eukaryota; Fungi.
UGCAAGUCUGGUGCCAGCAGUGCAAGUAAUUUGCCAGCAGCCGCGGUAAUUCCAGCUCCAAUAGCGUAUAUUAAAGUUGUUGCAGUUAAAAAGCUCGUAGUUGAACUUUGGGCCUGGGCGGACGGUCUACCUAUGGUAAGCACUGUUGCGGCCGGGUCUUUCCUUCUGGCUAGCCCUCGGGCGAACCAGGACGAUUACUUUGAGGAAAUUAGAGUGUUCAAAGCAGGCCUUUGCUCGGAUAUAUUAGCAUGGAAUAAUARAAUAGGACGCAUGGUUCUAUUUUGUUGGUUUCUAGGACCAUCGUAAUGAUUAAUAGGGACGGUCGGGGGCAUCAGUAUUCAGUCGUCAGAGGUGAAAUUCUUGGAUUGACUGAAGACUAACUACUGCGAAAGCAUUUGCCAAACUGCGAAAGCAUUUGCCAAA